Molecule: long non-coding RNA, 164 nt
Organism: Perognathus longimembris pacificus (Pacific pocket mouse)
Lineage: Eukaryota; Metazoa; Chordata; Mammalia; Rodentia; Heteromyidae
Exons: 3
Source: RefSeq, a predicted model, not a curated record
UUCUUCACAAUCAUCCACUAGAUCAGGAGAAAACAUCCGACAAACCCACACUGGGGGAGCAGCAGCCUUCAAAGCACACGGCUAGCACUCCCCAACAUCCAGAAGACCCAGUGUGAAGACACAGAACCACCACUAGGCGGCGACAGAGCCCGCCAUCACCCAAG